RNAcentral lists this ribosomal RNA (4894 nucleotides) under Candidatus Woesebacteria bacterium. Its description in RNAcentral is "23S ribosomal RNA". The stretch from base 1 to 3905 matches the Rfam family "Bacterial large subunit ribosomal RNA". Lineage: Bacteria; Candidatus Woeseibacteriota. The record is from RNAcentral.
CGCAAUUGGUGGAUGCCUAGGUGCAAGUUGCCGAAGAAGGACGCGUAAGACCGCGAAAGUCGUCGGGGAGCUGUCAAAAAGCUGUGAUCCGUCGGUGUCCGAAUGGGAAAACCCUGUCGCUUUGGCGACAACCCGUGCCCUAAGAGGCGCUCCCAACAGUCAACAAUCAACACGUCUUGGCUUGGUUUGACAAGACUUACAACUAGUUGUUAGUUGGUGAUUGGUAGUUGGUUGUUGGGAGUGCCUAUAAGGCACGUGGAGGGAACCGUCUGAACUGAAACAUCUAAGUAAGGCGUGGAAGAGAAAACAAUAGUGAUUCCGUUAGUAGCGGAGAGCGAAAGCGGAAGAGCCCAAACUCACCUUGUGCUUCGCACAAGGUGAGGGUUGUAGGAGCCCAACAUGAGAAUUUGUCAGGUAGCAGAACAGUCUGGAAUGUCUGGCCAUAGAAAGUGAAAGCCUUGUAUGCGAAACUUGACAGAUUCUCUAGGGAUUUCCUGAGUACCACGGUGUAAAUACACUGUGGGAAGCUGGGGGAACCAUCCUCCAAGGCUAAAUACAACUUGCAACCGAUAGCGAACUAGUACCGUGAGGGAAAGGUGAAAAGAAGGGCGGGACGCCCAGUGAAAUAGAAACUGAAACCAAUUGCGGACAAACCGGCAGAGGGCGAAGCCCUCUGCAACUGACAACAAGCCAAAGUAUUGGCUUUCAACUAUCAACUAACAACAAAACAUAAGUGUUGAUAGUUGGUUGUUUAAAGUUGUGGGUUGCGGAAGGCUUUGCCUGAUGCCGUGCCUAUUGAAGAAUGAGCCGGCGAGUUGCUCAUACGCUGCAAGCUUAAGCCCUUUGGGCGUAGGCGUAGGGAAACCGAGUGCGAAUAGCGCGACUAGUAGCGUGUGGCAGACCCGAAACCAGGUGAUCUAUCUAUGAGCAGGGUGAACCUUACCGAGAGGUAGGGGGAGGCCCGAACCCGUUGAUGUUGCAAUAUCAUGGGAUGACUUGUGGAUAGGGGUAAUAUGCCAACCGAACCUGGAGAUAGCUGGUUCUCCCCGAAAGGUCUAUAGGGACCGUGCCGGGCGAGGCGUUAUUGGGGGUAGAGCUACUGGAUGGAUAAGGGAGGGUAACUGACUUUAUUCAACCAAACUCCGAAUACCAAUGUACGCUAUCCCGGUAGACAGUCACAUCGGGCUAAGCUGAUGUGGCUAAAGGGAAACAUCCCAGACUCUCGGCUAAGGUCUUUAAGUUUCCGCAGAUUUUUCUGCGGCGGUGAUUGCGAGUUUCUCGCUUUCGCUGCAGCUAAGUUUGAAAGGAAGUUUUCUUCUUCAGACAGCUAGGAGGUUGGCUCAGAAGCAGCCAUCCUUUAAAGAAAGCGUAACAGCUCACUAGUUGAAGGGGGAAGCGCCUAAAAUUUAUCGAGGAUAAGCUGAACACCGAAGCCAGAGAUCUCGUCCUUUGGACGAGCAAAUUCGAAGCACUAAUAUCGAAAUUCUAAAAAAUAUUUUUGUGAAUAUUUUUGUGUUUUGUUUAGAAUUUCGUAUUUAUAAUUUCGGAUUUUCUCGACCAGAGGUCGAGGUGGUAGGGGAGCGUUCCAAAAGCAGUGAAGUCAAAUCGUGAGGUUUGGUGGAGCUUUUGGAAGUGAGAAUGCCGGCAUGAGUAGCGUACAAUCUCGGUGAGAAUCCGAGACGCCGAACACCCAAGGUUUCCGCUCAGACGUUCGUCGGGAGCGGGUUAGUCGGUACCUAAGGCAAGUCCCGAUUGUAUCGGGAGUAGCUGAUGGAUGACUGGUUAAAAUUCCAGUAUUUAUUUUGAAUCGCCAAACCUUGUGCUCUGCACAAGGUAGCUGGGGGUUGACAGGACGGGAUGUCCAAGGCCUACUUGUGAAUAUAGUAGGUGCAAGCUGUAAGGAAGGGUUGGUUGGAAAAUCCGCUUACCUGUUUAUUCAAGCAGUGAUGCAAAGUCUUGCGAGAGCAAGGCGAUUUUGGCGCAUUCUGUCUUUCAAAAAAGGCUCGCAGCGAGAUUCAAAAUAAGCCGUACCGUAAACCAACACAGGUGGGUUGGACGAGUAGUCUAAGGCGGGCGAGAGAAGGAGGCUUAAGGAACUCGGCAAACAAGCUGGACGUAAGUUCGCAAGAUGUCCUACCUCGGUGCACAGCACCGAGCUACCAACUAACAACAGCCAACAACCAACGAAAUAGUUUUUUGUUGUAGGUUGUCUGUUUUGUGUUGGUGGUUGAGUGCUGUGCACUUGGGGUCGAAGCUAAAGUUUGUCAGUCGACUGUUUAUCAAAAACACAGGUCCGUGCAAAGGCGUAAGCCGAAGUAUACGGGCUGACGCCUGCCCAGUGCCGGUAAGUUAAGGGGAGGUGUGCAUAGCACACAACUUUCAACAACCAACAAUCAACCGACAACUAAAGGGUUUGAGAUUGGGAGUUGAUGGCUGUGCGCUAUGCGCACCGAACUCAAGCUCCGGUAAACGGCAGCAGUAACUAUAACUGUUCUACGGUGGAACUAAGCCGCCGUAGUAAAACCUAGCUAUAUGCUGGAAAAUCCUGUUAUUCGAGAACUACUAUGGUAUAUUUUUUCCGUGGGGAAUGUAUACCAAGUAAAAAAGUUCAUCGUAGGGAUAAUCAGCAGGAAAGACCGAGUUUGGAAGUGGGAAGUUAGAUGUGUGAAGCUGGAUUUACGAAGUGGGAUGUGAGAUAGUUAAUUAAUGAUUACUAGCUUUUUGGAUUUAGAUGUCUACAAAGAAUCUUUUCAACUUUCUUUGGAGAUUGAAGAGAUUGUAGGAAGACAUCCAAAAAGUGAGAGAUAUCUUUUAGUUGACCAAUUAAAGCGUGCGUCUCGAGCAAUUCCAGCGUUAAUUGCGGAGGGAUAUGCAAAGAGGGAAACUCUGGCGGUAUUUAAAAAGAUGUUGAGAGACGCAAUUGGGGAAGCUAACGAGAUGAUUAAUCAUCUGGCUUUCUCGAGAGCUAAAGGCUACAUAAAACCUGAGAGAGCAGAGAGGUUGAUUGAAAGAUACCAUAUAGUAGGUAAGAAGUUAUCUAAACUAAAAGAUAAUUGGAGAAACUAUUAAUCUCAUCUCACACUUCAUUUUCCAUCUUCCCAUCUCACAUUUCUUAUUUCUAAAUCGGAAUCCUCAGAGACUAUACGCUGGGGCUUGAGAUUUUCUCAAGUAAGAUAUAGUCCGAUCUCCAAUGAGAAUUGGAGUUAACAUUUGAGCGAAGUUCCUUGUCGGGUAAGUUCCGACCUGCACGAAAGGCGUAACGAGCUGACAACUGUCUUAAGCCUUCACUCGGCGAAAUUGCGAUGGCUGUGAAGACGCGGCCUACUUCCACCAGGACAAAAAGACCCCGUGGAGCUUUACUGCAGUUUAGUAUUGAUUUGGGUGUUUCAAUUGUCAAGAAUAGGAGGGACCCCUCCUUUGGAGGGGAACAGUGUGAUACCUCUCUUUGAGGCGCUGCAAAUCUUACCUGAGAACCUUGCAUACAGGUUCGGGGAAAGUGCUAGAUGGGCAGUUUUACUGGGGCGGUACCCUGCUAAAUUGUAACGCAGGGGCACAAAGGUCAGCUUGCUGCGAAUGGAAACCGCAGUGGACGUGCAAAGGCAUAAGCUGGCUUAACUGCGAGUGCGACGGCACAAGCAGGUGCGAAAGCAGGUCUUAGUGAUCCUCCGAUGUCAUGUGGGUGACGCGGAGCUUAACGGAUAAAAGCUACCCCGGGGAUAACAGAGUAGUCGCGCCCGAGCGUCCACAGCGACGGCGCGGAUCGCUACCUCGAUGUCGGCUCACCGCAUCCUGGGGCUGGAGAAGGUCCCAAGGGUUGGUCUGUUCGCCCAUUAAAGCGGUACGCGAGCUGGGUUCAGAACGUAAAUUACGUUGCGUUCUACUACAGUAAUGUAGUAUUAUGAAAUCGACUAAAAUCGGUGAAACCUGUUUUUGCUUUUAAAGCAAAUAUGGCAAUACCGAGGGUAAGUCGAAAGCUCUGUGACUCUAAAGAAGGAGGAAUUAGCUUAUAUCGCAGGUUUUUUGGACGGAGAUGGAUGUAUAAUGCUCCAGUUGAUAAAUCGUAAGGAUUAUAAACUUGGUUAUCAAAUCAGAGCAAGCAUCGUCUUCUAUCAAAAAACCGAAAAAAGAGAAUUCCUUUCUUGGCUAAAGACAAUAUUUAAAGUUGGUUAUAUUCGUGAUAGGAAAGAUAAUAUCAGUGAAUAUACUAUUGUGGGAGUUAAUCCUGUAAAGAAGGUUUUGUUUCUGCUUCUUCCUUAUUUAAGAUUGAAGAAGGAACAAGCCAUUCUUGCUUUAUCAGUUUUGUCUAAGAUGCCAGGAAGUGGAAGAGAUAUGAAGCCUGAACUCUUGCUUAGUUUGUCUUGCAAGGUCGAUGAGUUUGCAAGAUUGAAUUAUUCAAAGAGGCGGACUAAUAUCUCUUCAAAGGUAAGAGAAUUUUUGGAGUUACACAGGCUUUUGAAUCCCGUAGAGACUGAUCCGAAAGGAGAGACUCAUUUUAAAUGAGUAAUAUGUCGACUCCCAUCAUAAAUUCCAAGGAUAUGGUUUUAUAACCUAAAGUCCGGAGAUGGGAUGAAGAUAUAGUCCAUGCCAACUCGAAAGAGUGGAUUAUCAUGCGCGAGACAGUUCGGACUCUAUCCGGUGGAAGCGUUGAAUCUUGAGGGGAGCUCUCCUCAGUACGAGAGGACCAGGAGGGAGGAAUCCCUGGUGUUCCGGUUGUUGCGUCAGCAGCAUUGCCGGGUAGCCACAUUCCUUGUGGAUAACCGCUGAAAGCAUCUAAGCGGGAAGCCCACCCCAAGAUCAGGAUUCGUUAUAGACCCCUGGAAGAAUACCAGGUUAAUCGGCUGGCAGUGGAAGAGGCGCAAGCCUUUAAGCUUACCAGUGCGAAUUGGUCGAAGAC